RNAcentral lists this ribosomal RNA (253 nucleotides) under uncultured bacterium. RNAcentral describes it as "partial 16S ribosomal RNA". It matches the Rfam family "Bacterial small subunit ribosomal RNA", at positions 524 to 776 of the family's 1533-position model. The record is from RNAcentral.
UACGAAGGGGGCUAGCGUUGCUCGGAAUCACUGGGCGUAAAGCGCACGUAGGCGGCUUUUUAAGUCAGAGGUGAAAUCCUGGAGCUCAACUCCAGAACUGCCUUUGAUACUGGCAAGCUAGAGUCCGGAAGAGGUAAGUGGAACUCCUAGUGUAGAGGUGGAAUUCGUAGAUAUUAGGAAGAACACCAGUGGCGAAGGCGGCUUACUGGUCCGGAACUGACGCUGAGGUGCGAAAGCGUGGGGAGCAAACAGG